This 465-nucleotide ribosomal RNA is filed under the name uncultured bacterium. RNAcentral's name for it is "partial 16S ribosomal RNA". It matches the Rfam family "Bacterial small subunit ribosomal RNA", at positions 28 to 507 of the family's 1533-position model. The record is from RNAcentral.
GACGAACGCUGGCGGCGUGCUUAACACAUGCAAGUCGAACGGAAAGGCCCCUUCGGGGGUACUCGAGUGGCGAACAGGUGAGUAACACGUGAGUAACCUGCCCUUGACUUCGGGAUAACUUCAGGAAACUGGGGCUAAUACCGGAUAGGAAUCCUUGCUGCAUGGUGGGGGUUGGAAAGCUUCGGCGGUUUUGGAUGGACUCGCGGCUUAUCAGCUUGUUGGUGGGGUAGUGGCUUACCAAGGCUUUGACGGGUAGCCGGCCUGAGAGGGCGACCGGCCACAUUGGGACUGAGAUACGGCCCAGACUCCUACGGGAGGCAGCAGUGGGGAAUAUUGCACAAUGGGCGGAAGCCUGAUGCAGCAACGCCGCGUGCGGGAUGACGGCCUUCGGGUUGUAAACCGCUUUCAGCAGGGGCGAAGCUUGUGGUGACGGUACCUGCAGAAGAAGCACCGGCUAACCACGUG